UCCACCAGCGAGCAGGCUGCAAGGCAUAAGAAGCUGAGAGGAGACACAGCCAGGACAGCUGACCCAACUGGCCAAAGGGAUAUGCCAUACCACUGAAUGUCAGCCCAGUGAAUAAACUGGGGGAAGUUGGCUGGGAGGACCCAAUCACUGCUUGGGAACUGGCUGGACAGCAGUCGGCAGGUGAGCUAUACUGAAGCUGGAACCAUCCUUAUGACUAUGCCAUCAUAGCACGGUUUCACAGUUGACACUGAAGAUAAUUUCAUUCUGAGACUACUAUUUACUGAAAUCUGUGGGGGAGGAGAUAAAAGUCAGUUUCUUGUAUUCUUUACUAUAAAGCAAACAGCUUCUGAUGUUUAUAUAAAUGGUGAUAUUGAGAUAUUCUGUGCUUUUUCAGUAGUUGCUUUUUUUUUUUUUCAUAAUUUCCUCCCUGUGCAAACACUACUGUAUUUCUUUCAGAAGAUUAAACACCAAGGAUUUAUGCCUUCA
Molecule: long non-coding RNA, 486 nt
Organism: Corvus hawaiiensis (hawaiian crow)
Lineage: Eukaryota; Metazoa; Chordata; Aves; Passeriformes; Corvidae
Exons: 2
Source: RefSeq, a predicted model, not a curated record